CCAGAUAUUGAUCAGUAUUAAUAGCCAAGAUAUGUUUGAAAACUUCUAAUGUCACUGUUUUUCCUACUUCCACCUUAAAGACUUAUCGCAAAAAGUAAAGACACACAACAGACACCAUUGAAACGCUUCAAAAGACUUUAUUUGUACCAAACAAAAGACUGUAUUGGACAUUGUCACGCCUCAGUAUGUUUUUCUAAAUAAUUUUUUUCUAGAAUCUUUUAGGCAAGGGUUAAUAAUUGGAAAGUUCGUUUCCAUUAUAUUGUGUCACUUCCUGUCUAACACCUUUUUAGUAAUGAUGCACUGAUUGUCUCCACACUUGACAAAGAGCCUUCUAUGGUUCGAAACAUGUAGUGUUGGCAAAUAAACACUGAUGAUUUAGCAGUUAA
This is a long non-coding RNA of Xenopus laevis (African clawed frog), 386 nucleotides long. RefSeq lists it as uncharacterized. Lineage: Eukaryota; Metazoa; Chordata; Amphibia; Anura; Pipidae. The record is from RefSeq and is a predicted model, not a curated record. The transcript is spliced from 2 exons.